AGAGUUUGAUCAUGGCUCAGAUUGAACGCUGGCGGCAGGCUUAACACAUGCAAGUCGAACGGUAACAUGAGUGCUUGCACUUGAUGACGAGUGGCGGACGGGUGAGUAAAGUAUGGGGAUCUGCCAAAUGGAGGGGGACAACAGUUGGAAACGACUGCUAAUACCGCAUAAAGUUGAGAGACCAAAGUACGGUUCCGAAAGGACGUGCGCCAUUUGAUGAACCCAUAUGGGAUUAGCUAGUUGGUGGGGUAAAGGCUCACCAAGGCGACGAUCUCUAGCUGGUCUGAGAGGAUGACCAGCCACACUGGAACUGAGACACGGUCCAGACUCCUACGGGAGGCAGCAGUGGGGAAUAUUGCACAAUGGGGGGAACCCUGAUGCAGCCAUGCCGCGUGUAUGAAGAAGGCCUUCGGGUUGUAAAGUACUUUCGGUAGUGAGGAAGUUGUGUGUAUGAAAAGUGCAUGCAAUUGACGUUAGCUACAGAAGAAGCACCGGCUAACUCCGUGCCAGCAGCCGCGGUAAUACGGAGGGUGCGAGCGUUAAUCGGAAUGACUGGGCGUAAAGGGCAUGUAGGCGGAUAAUUAAGUUAGGUGUGAAAGCCCCGGGCUCAACCUGGGAAUUGCACUUAAAACUGGUUAUCUGGAGUAUUGUAGAGGAAGGUAGAAUUCCACGUGUAGCGGUGAAAUGCGUAGAGAUGUGGAGGAAUACCGGUGGCGAAGGCGGCCUUCUGGACAGAUACUGACGCUGAGAUGCGAAAGCGUGGGGAGCAAACAGGAUUAGAUACCCUGGUAGUCCACGCCCUAAACGAUGACAUUAGCUGUUGGGGCACUAGAUGUCUUAGUAGCGAAGCUAACGCGAGAAAUUGUCCGCCUGGGGAGUACGGUCGCAAGGUUGAAACUCAAAUGAAUUGACGG
This 914-nucleotide ribosomal RNA is filed under the name uncultured Enterobacteriaceae bacterium. RNAcentral's name for it is "bacterial SSU rRNA". It matches the Rfam family "Bacterial small subunit ribosomal RNA", at positions 8 to 916 of the family's 1533-position model. The record is from RNAcentral. Lineage: Bacteria; Pseudomonadati; Pseudomonadota; Gammaproteobacteria; Enterobacterales; Enterobacteriaceae.